GCUUGCUUUCUUGCUGACGAGUGGCGGACGGGUGAGUAAUGCUUGGGAAUCUGGCUUAUGGAGGGGGAUAACGACGGGAAACUGUCGCUAAUACCGCGUAGAGUCGAGAGACGAAAGUGCGGGACCGCAAGGCCGCACACCAUAGGAUGAGCCCAAGUGGGAUUAGGUAGUUGGUGGGGUAAAGGCCUACCAAGCCGACGAUCUCUAGCUGGUCUGAGAGGAUGACCAGCCACACCGGGACUGAGACACGGCCCGGACUCCUACGGGAGGCAGCAGUGGGGAAUAUUGCGCAAUAGGGGCAACCCUGACGCAGCCAUGCCGCGUGAAUGAAGAAGGCCUUCGGGUUGUAAAGUUCUUUCGGUAUUGAGGAAGGUUGUUGUGUUAAUAGCACGACAAAUUGACGUUAAAUACAGAAGAAGCACCGGCUAACUCCGUGCCAGCAGCCGCGGUAAUACGGAGGGUGCGAGCGUUAAUCGGAAUAACUGGGCGUAAAGGGCACGCAGGCGGACUUUUAAGUGAGGUGUGAAAUCCCCGGGCUUAACCUGGGAAUUGCAUUUCAGACUGGGAGUCUAGAGUACUUUAGGGAGGGGUAGAGUUCCACGUGUAGCGGUGAAAUGCGUAGAGAUGUGGAGGAAUACCGAAGGCGAAGGCAGCCCCUUGGGAAUGUACUGACGCUCAUGUGCGAAAGCGUGGGGAGCAAACAGGAUUAGAUACCCUGGUAGUCCACGCUGUAAACGCUGUCGAUUUGGGGAUUGGGCCUUGAGCUUGGU
Molecule: ribosomal RNA, 770 nt
Filed under: uncultured Haemophilus sp.
Lineage: Bacteria; Pseudomonadati; Pseudomonadota; Gammaproteobacteria; Pasteurellales; Pasteurellaceae
Description: bacterial SSU rRNA
Rfam family: Bacterial small subunit ribosomal RNA
Source: RNAcentral